Molecule: ribosomal RNA, 655 nt
Filed under: Lentistivalius insolli
Lineage: Eukaryota; Metazoa; Arthropoda; Insecta; Siphonaptera; Stivaliidae
Description: SSU rRNA
Rfam family: Eukaryotic small subunit ribosomal RNA
Source: RNAcentral
GGUGCCAGCAGCCGCGGUAACUCCAGCUCCAAUAGCGUAUAUUAAAGUUGUUGCGGUUAAAAAGCUCGUAGUUGAAUCUGUGUCCCACACUGUCGGUUCACCGCUCGCGGUGUUCAACUGGCACGUCUGUGGGACGUCCUACCGGUGGGCUUAGCCCGUCAAAAGGCGGCCCAACUCAAAAUCCUACCACGGUGCUCUUCACCGAGUGUCGAGGUGGGCCGGUACGUUUACUUUGAACAAAUUAGAGUGCUUAAAGCAGGCUCAUUCGCCUGAAUAUUCUGUGCAUGGAAUAAUGGAAUAGGACCUCGGUUCUAUUUUGUUGGUUUUCGGAACUCCGAGGUAAUGAUUAAUUGGGACAACUGGGGGCAUUCGUAUUGCGACGUUAGAGGUGAAAUUCUUGGAUCGUCGCAAGACGGACAGAAGCGAAAGAAAUGUGUUUUCAUCAAUCAAGAACGAAAGUUAGAGGUUCGAAGGCGAUCAGAUACCGCCCUAGUUCUAACCAUAAACGAUGCCAGCUAGCGAUCCGCCGAAGUUCCUCCGAUGACUCGGCGGGCAGCUUCCGGGAAACCAAAGCUUUUGGGUUCCGGGGGAAGUAUGGUUGCAAAGCUGAAACUUAAAGGAAUUGACGGAAGGGCACCACCAGGAGUGGAGCCUG